UGCUCGAGUUUGAAAAGACGCGGGAAGUGGGGACCCAUAUAUACCUCUGCGAUUCCAAUCCGCUUUUAUUAUUAGUACGGUUAGGGUUUUGCAUUCCUAGUCGGAUCGAUGGAGGACUCAACAGAUUCUGUCGCUCUUCCGAGAAAUGGAAUAGCAGGACGGAUAGAUCUCAGUCCUCCAGAUCGUCCAAUCCCCGAUCUAACGGAUCAGAUCCACCAUCUCCCUUGCUGCAUCAAGCUCAAUGGCCCCUGCCCCGUCUCCGACUACUUCAAGCCCAAAAAGACUGGCAUCGUUGUUGAUGGUUUAGAUGUAGAGGAAGCUUCAUUCCGAGGGCGGAAAUUGCAGGGUGCGACGAUUCCUAUUCCAGAAGGGUAUUGUGGCUUUGUCUUAGAGAGGAAGAGUCCAGUUGAUCAAUCAAAUAAAAGGAAGAGGGCAAAAGGUUUAGAAACUUCUGAAGGGGAUUCCAACUGUUGGGAGGCACGUGCGAAAUUUCAAAAUAUAACAUACUGGAAUCAUGACAAUCUCCCUUCCAAGGACGAUGCAUUUGUUCGUUUCUUUCAUUGGUUCUCUGUUGCAAAUGCUUUGCAUAAGCCUGUAACAGAAGAUGACUUGGCUUCUUCUUCUACCAAGGAACAGAAGUGAUAGACUGAUUUGGAAAGAGAGAAAAGGGGUGAUGUAGUAAAUGGGCCAACCUCCACUGUAUUGGCAGCUUAUGGAUUGGAGACAAAGGGUUCUUUUGAUCCAGCUGUGCUAAGAAUGCAUCUACCUGCUCUACCUCACCCUGCUCUACUUCAGAGACUUCCCAAAAAUAUGGAUCUUGGAAAAUCUUACUGUCUUAGGAUAGAAAUUGUGGAUAAGAGGUCUGAUUAUUGAUCAUUGGAGCCUGUUAUUGGUUGAAUGAGGAUCUUUAAUCACUAAUAUAGCCCAAAAACUAGUACUACUAAAACCUUUUCUGACUAGGGUGCUCAAAACUUCUAUUGUUGGAAGAAAAAUGUCAACAAGAUCAGCACUAGAAACACAAGCAGUCUUGUAAAAGGUCCUUGGACACUAAUUUUAUUUGUUUGUAUGUGUUAAUCAUUCCUUCUUUUAUAAUGCUUUAUUUAUUUAUUUUAAAAUGCUGCACAAAAACAAUGAAAAGGAAAGAUCCCCGAGACAGACAUUUCCAUAUGAGCAUUUUUUUAGAGCACUUGAAGGUAAAACAGCAAUUUUGCCUUUUAGAAGCACUUGCGUCAUUCAAAAUUUCAGUAUUGUUUGUACUUAGGGUUCGAGUCUGUCUGUCAAUCGUAGACAGACCGCUUGAGUUCAAGCCCAGCUUUGCUUAUGUAUCAAUAAUAAUAAUAAUAAUAAAAGUCAGUAAAAAGAUAAAAAA
RNA transcript from Magnolia sinica, 1369 nucleotides. RefSeq lists it as uncharacterized. Lineage: Eukaryota; Viridiplantae; Streptophyta; Magnoliopsida; Magnoliales; Magnoliaceae. The record is from RefSeq and is a predicted model, not a curated record. The transcript is spliced from 5 exons.